This 73-nucleotide transfer RNA is filed under the name Dictyocaulus viviparus (bovine lungworm). It matches the Rfam family "tRNA". From Rfam's summary of the family: Transfer RNA (tRNA) molecules are approximately 80 nucleotides in length. Their secondary structure includes four short double-helical elements and three loops (D, anti-codon, and T loops). The record is from Rfam by way of RNAcentral. Lineage: Eukaryota; Metazoa; Nematoda; Chromadorea; Rhabditida; Metastrongylidae.
GUCUCUGUAGUGCAAUCGGUUAGCAUAAAAGACCGGACAUCUGUAGAUGCGAGUUCGAGUCUUGCCUGAGGUU